This 383-nucleotide transfer-messenger RNA is filed under the name Candidatus Azambacteria bacterium RIFCSPHIGHO2_01_FULL_40_24. It matches the Rfam family "transfer-messenger RNA". Rfam says of the family: Bacterial tmRNA, also known as 10Sa RNA or SsrA, is named for its dual tRNA and mRNA-like properties. RNAcentral also lists the same sequence under 1 other name. Lineage: Bacteria; Candidatus Azamiibacteriota. The record is from RNAcentral.
GGGGGUGAUGGGCUUCGAUAGAAUUUGAAAAUUAAAUAUGCAGGCCGAGGAUAUCUCGUAACCUCGAAAUUCCGUUGGGAUAAUAUCCUGGUGCGACAAUCCCCGAGAUAAAGCAGAAAAUAACUGCCAAAACAAAUCUAACUCCUGCUUUCGCUUUUGCUUAAGCAGCAUCGGCUGUCUGAUGUCUAAUAGGAUAAUACCGGUGUCAACCAUUAGGCUUUAAUCCGGAAAAUCUUCGAUUCGGAUAGAACUAAAGAAGAAACGGGAAUCUUUUAUUUUGGCUAUUUUUAAGAAAGAUUUCUAAAACAAUAAAUAGUAUAUCGCCUGUAGAUAUAUUUAAUUAAAAAUUCUAGAUGCGAGUUCAACUCUCGCCAUCUCCAUCA